AGCUGCUGGAGCCGCGACCAUGGAGGAGUCUGGCAUGUCUCAUGAAUCAGCAGAGGACUUGUUUCAUUUCAACGUAGGGGGCUGGCAUUUCUCAGUUCCCAGAAGCAAACUCUCUCAGUUUCCAGACUCCCUGCUGUGGAAAGAGGCUUCAGCCUUGACCUCUUCAGAAAGCCAGAGGCUAUUUAUCGACAGAGAUGGUUCCACAUUUAGGCACGUGCACUAUUACCUCUACACCUCCAAACUCUCCUUCUCCAGUUGUGCAGAACUGAACUUGCUGUAUGAGCAAGCAUUGGGUUUGCAGCUGAUGCCUUUGCUGCAGACUCUAGAUAACCUGAAGGAAGGGAAACACCAUCUACGCGUGCGGCCUGCAGACAUACCUGUUGCUGAGAGAGCAUCUCUGAACUACUGGCGUACGUGGAAGUGUAUUAGCAAACCCUCAGAGUUUCCAAUCAAAAGCCCCGCCUUCACAGGCCUACAUGAUAAGGCACCUCUGGGGCUCAUGGACACACCCCUGUUAGACACAGAAGAGGAGGUGCACUACUGCUUCCUGCCCCUAGACCUGGUGGCCAAAUAUCCCAGCCUAGUGACUGAAGACAACCUGCUGUGGCUGGCUGAGACGGUGGCCCUCAUCGAGUGCGAGUGCAGCGAGUUCCGCUUCAUUGUGAAUUUUCUUCGCUCACAGAAGAUUUUACUACCGGAUAAUUUCUCCAACAUUGAUGUAUUAGAAGCAGAAGUGGAAAUUCUGGAAAUCCCUGCACUCACUGAAGCUGUAAGGUGGUACCGGAUGAACAUGGGCACGGUUGGAGGUGUGGGAAAUGCUCAGUGCUUCAUGCAUCUCACCCGCCCCCAAAUUCCCUCAUCACCUCACAUGGAAACCCCCGGCCGCUGUGCCUGUUUCUGCCUAUUCCUGACGCUUGCUGACCCCUGUCCAGCCUAGGCCUUCGUGCUCCCAGCCCUACCUCAUUCCAGCUUGUUCUUCCCCUCAUGGUUUCCUCAGGGCCGUUCAUCAUUCCAUUUCCCAACUCCACCUCCAUGGAAGCUACUGUGCAUGUUAUAGGGUGCCAGCUACCUGAGCAUGGCUUCAGCCGCCAUCCUGAGAAUAUGUAGAACUGCAUUGCACAUGGGAAGUUUGGCCUGGACAUCGCCAGACAUUUAUCCCAUGGCAAUCAGGCCUUUCCUUAUCUUCAGGCAUAGAUUUCCCAGCCUUCUCCCAGACAAAUAGAAACCCAUCCUCUUGGCUAGGCGCUGGUGGCUGAUGCCUGUAAUCCCAGCAUUUUGAGAGGCCAACACAAGCAGAUCACUUGAGGUCAGGAGUUCGAGACCAGCCUGGCCAACAUGGUGAAACCCCAUCUCUACUAAAAUACAAAAAUUAGCCGGGCAUGGUGGCGCACACCUGUAAUCCCAGCUACUUGGGAGGCUGAGGCAGGAGAAUCGCUUGAACCCAGGAGGUGGAGGCUACAGUGAGCCGAGAUCAUGUCACUGCACUCAAGCCUGGGCAACAGAGUGAGACUCCUUCUCAAAAAAGAAACCCAUCCUCUUUGUGGGGAGUGGCAUGCUCCAGCAGGUCUCAGGACCCUGUCCCAGGGCCUUAUAAUCCGCUUAAGGUGGUGUGAGUUCAGCCCCUUCCCUCAAAGCUUUCUACUCCUCAGAGAACAUAGAUCAUUGUGAGAUGGUAGCGUAGUCCCUGCUCCACAGAGCAAUGCAAAGAUGGAGGAAGUGUGUUGACAGCCAGGCUCUGGAAGCUGGCAGCACUCCUCAAACACAAAGGGUGGCUUUAGCUUUCUACAAAGCAUCACAAUAAGGGAAACAGCUGUGGUAACCUUGGAGAUGGACAGAGCUGACCUCAAAUCCUAGCCCUGCCCCUGCCUAGCUUUGCAGUUUAGGGCAAGAUACUUCAUUAGCCUCUCAGGGCAGGUUCUUCAACGUGAAAUGAUGAUAGCACUACCCCCUCUUGUAGGGUUGCUCUGAGGAUUGGAGAUGAUCCACGAACAUCCCCCAGCAGUGUGCCCACUGGCACACUGUUGCCACGGAAGCAGGGUCCCGAAGGCUGUGAUAACUGUAUUCUCUGGACUGUACUCUGGGCCCACUAUAGGAGAAAAAGGUCCCAUCCAUAAACCAGCAACCCAAAUACCCACCCUGAAAAUAAUGCCACACGGUAUGUCUCAGGGGGAAAUUCUGCCCAGGAGAGCCAGCAAUAGGGGCUGUGAAUCCAGGAAGCCUGUAACACACAUUGAGUUUCCAGGCCAUGGUUGCCGUUCUUUACCUUUGGAUGGUUACAGAAGAGCUUGGAACUAAUGGAGACUCCUGCAGAGGCUGGGGCCAGUUGGCUGCUUUCCUGAAACUUAGGAAAUUCAGAUGCUAGUGAUACAGCAAAUGAAUCCCCCCACUCCCAACUCACCUCCCAACAAAUAGUUAUGACUUCUAAGCCUGAGUAUACAAAAAAAUUAUACUGAUUUUGAGAAGAUCUCGCUUUGGACUGUGCAAGGAAAUAUCCUUCCUCUGAGCCUCCUCGGUACAAUGGAGGCAGCAGUAGGAACCGAGCCCCAAAGCCUCCAAUCCAGCUAUGACCAUGGGGGGCCUAGGAGUCACCCCUUUCUCCCUGACACAGGUGGCUGUUCCCGGACCACCUGUUCUCCCCUGAGCCCCGGGAAGGGGGCCCGCACAGCCAGCCUGGAGUCCAUGAAACCGCUCUACACAAUGGCCCUGGGUCUGCUGGUCAAGUACCCGGACUCUGCGCUGGGCCAGCUUCGCAUCGAGAGCACGCUAGACGGAAGCCGACUGUACAUCACAGGGAACGGCGUCCUCUUUCAGCACGUCAAGAACUGGCUGGGGACUUGCCGGCUGCCCCUGACAGAGACCAUUUCCGAGGUAUAUGAGCUCUGUGCCUUCCUAGACAAAAGGGACAUCACCUACGAGCCAAUGAAAGUGGCUUUGAAGACUCAUCUGGAGCCAAGGACUUUGGCACCCAUGGAUGUGCUCAAUGAGUGGACAGCAGAGAUCACCGUGUAUUCCCCACAACAGAUCAUCAAAGUGUAUGUUGGAAGCCACUGGUAUGCAACCACCCUGCAGACACUGCUGAAGUAUCCAGAACUGCUGUCCAACCCUCAGAGAGUGUACUGGAUCAGAUAUGGACAAACCCUGCUCAUCCACGGGGAUGGCCAGAUGUUCCGACACAUUCUCAACUUCCUGAGACUUGGCAAACUGUUUUUACCAUCUGAAUUUAAGGAAUGGCCCCUCUUCUGCCAGGAGGUGGAGGAAUACCACAUUCCAUCCCUCUCAGAAGCCCUUGCACAAUGUGAAGGAUACAAGUCAUGGACUCAGGAGAAAGAAUCUGAAAAUGAAGAAGCUUUUCCCAUCAGGAGGCUGCACGUGGUGACAGAAGGGCCAGGGUCACUGGUGGAGUUCAGUAGAGACACUAAAGAAACCACAGCCUACAUGCCUGUGGGCUUCGAAGACUGCAGUGAUAGGACUCCAUGGAACAAGGCUAAGGGAAACCUGGCCAGGUCCAACCAGAUGGAGGAGGCUGAGCAGUACACUCGGCCCAUCCAGGUGUCCCUAUGCCGAAAUGCCAAGAGAGCUGGCAACCCUAGCACAUACUCACACUGCCCUGGCUUGUGUACCAAUCCUGGACACUGGGGGAGCCACCCUGAGAGCCCCCCAAAGAAGAAAUGCACCACAAUCAACCUCACACAGAAAUCUGAAACCAAAGACCCUCCCGCCACUCCCAUGCAAAAACUCAUCUCCCUGGUGAGAGAAUGGGACAUGGUCAGUUGCAAACAGUGGGAAUUCCAGCCACUGACAGCCUCCCGGAGCAGCCCUUUGGAGGAGGCCACCCUGCAGCUCCCCUUGGGAAGCGAGGCUGCUUCCCAGCCUAGCACCUCAGCUGCCUGGAAAGCCCAUUCCACAGCCUCAGAGAAGGAUCCAGGACCACAGGCAGGGGCUGGAGCUGGAGUGAAAGACAAGGGGCCAGAGCCAACCUUCAAGCCAUACUUCCCCCCAAAAAGAGCCAGCACCCUGAAGGACUGGAGCAAGCAGAGGACCAAGGAGAGAGAAAGCCCUGCCCCUGAGCAGCCUCUGCCCGAGGCCAGUGAGGUGGACAGCCUAGGGGUUAUCCUCAAAGUGACUCACCCCCCCGUGGUGGGCAGCGAUGGCUUCUGCAUGUUCUUUGAGGACAGCAUCAUCUACACCACGCAGAUGGACAACCUCAGGCACACACCACCCACAGCCAGUCCCCAGCCCCAAGAAGUGACUUUCCUGAGUUUCUCUCUGUCCUGGGAAGAGAUGUUUUAUGCGCAGAAAUGUCACGGCUUCCUGGCUGACAUCAUCCUGGAUUCCAUCAGGCAAAAGGACCCCAAAGCCAUCACAGCCAAGGUGGUCUCCCUGGCCAAUCGGCUGUGGACCCUGCACAUCAGCCCCAAGCAGUUUGUGGUAGAUUUGCUGGCCAUCACUGGCUUCAAGGACGACCGGCACACCCAGGAGUGCCUGUACAGCUGGGUGGAGCUUACACUGCCCUUCGCCAAGAAAUAUGGCCACUGCAUGGACCUGCUCAUCCAGAGGGGCCUGUCUAGGUCUGUCUCGUACUUCAUCCUGGGAAAGUACCUACAAGAGGACUAGGGUGCCCAGAGAUGCAGCCCCUCGUGCCCCACCCGCCAAGUCUCAUUUUAAUUGAAGAUAGCCCCAGAAUGCAUGUGCCCAUCAGAGGGUACAUAUCAGUCUAUUUUUUAUUAUAAACAAAUAAAAGAUUAAAUCACACAUC
This 4756-nucleotide small RNA is filed under the name Pongo abelii (Sumatran orangutan). RNAcentral's name for it is "retained intron". The record is from RNAcentral. Lineage: Eukaryota; Metazoa; Chordata; Mammalia; Primates; Hominidae.